Molecule: long non-coding RNA, 366 nt
Organism: Strongylocentrotus purpuratus (purple sea urchin)
Lineage: Eukaryota; Metazoa; Echinodermata; Echinoidea; Camarodonta; Strongylocentrotidae
Exons: 2
Source: RefSeq, a predicted model, not a curated record
UGCUGUGUCAGAAGAAGUUUGAGUCUUAUCUCUCAGAAAUCAAGAAACUGGUUAGAGAUGACGAUCCACGUGCCGUAUAUCGUCUUCAGUUGCCUGAGAUCGAGAGGGGAGGAGGUUUGAAGGACAAACAACGCUCCAGAAGAUUCCGUCUUCUUGGACGAAAAGAAGAUGAUUACGUCAUACUUCCAGAUCAAUAUCUUAAAGAUGUCUUGGACCUGAAAGACUACUAGUAGACAAAACAAAAUGGCCGCCAUCAUGUCUAUAGCCAUGGUCGGUGUUACAUGAAGGACUACUAGUAGAUAAAACAAAAUGGCCGCCAUCAUGUCUAUAGCCAUGGUCGGUGUUACAUGAAGGACUACUAGUAGA